RNAcentral lists this long non-coding RNA (1151 nucleotides) under Citrus sinensis (sweet orange). Its description in RNAcentral is "long non-coding RNA (CSIN_LNC003366)". The record is from RNAcentral. Lineage: Eukaryota; Viridiplantae; Streptophyta; Magnoliopsida; Sapindales; Rutaceae.
AAAAUUCAAGUUGUUAGCUCAUUUAGUAGAAAAUUCAUGAUCACUCCAUAUGUGUGUAUCAAAUUAUCACCAUUCAUCAUCAUAACAAAUCGGUGAGGGCUAAAGUGAUGAGUCCUUUGCCAAACAGGUGGCAAAGAGAAACCCAAGUCUUAUUUUAGUGGAAGCCGUGGGUUGGGUGAGUAAGACUGCAGCAGUUUUCAAUCGGCCUUAUCAAGGCUUAUUCAUGCAUUCAACACUUAAACAUCACUUUUCUUGCUUUCUUUCAUCAUGGUAUCAGAGCCAGACACGGCCAAUUCCAUUACAACGAACUCAAAUUCAACUGUUCUUAACCAAAAUCAGCCUUCACAUGGAAGUUGGAAACUUUGAACUUCAAUAAAUUUGUCUCCAUCUAUUGAAGCAGCUUUUGUUUGUUAAAUAUUAACAAUAAAAAGCAUUUAAAUUUUGUUCUCAUCGUCAUCGUUACCAUUUUCUUGGAUAAGUUUCUUCCCAAAUAUGAUGCAAGUCAAAAGUAUUGUGCCAGCACAAAUCUUCUUACAUUUUUUUUUCCUCCAACUGUUAUUGUUUAAAAAAAAAAUGAUGAAAUGAAAUUUGUACAAUCGCUGACUUUUCUUCAACAAUUCUCCCGAAUUCGUGCUCAAGAUGAGAGAAUAGAAAACUCAAGAACGUGAACGUUCACAAUUCUUACAAUUUCGAAUACAUUCUAAUUCCAGGUCUUUAGUCUUUACCUCAUAAAUAUUUAACAUUUAUAUAUUAAUUUUUUGUUUACUGAAAAUGAAAAUGAUGCUUAAAGAAUGAUCCUCCAUCAUAUGGAUCGCACGUUUAUCUUUAUUCAACCGAACAAUAUGAUUUUAAGUGACUUUAACAGACGAAUUUGAACACAACAUCUUCUUUGUGGGUAUCAAUUUAUGGUACUUGUCACUUUUCAUAUAAUUUGGCUUUACAUUAACAGAAUGUGUGGCUGAUGCAAAAGGUAAGUGCAUGAAAAUGAAACCUGCACAGGCUCACUCCCACAUCAAGGAUCAAGCCAAUUAUGCUCCAGAAAACACAUAUGCCUGCCUCUUUUUUUCACUUUCUCCUUGCCAUUAUUUGCUCGCCUUUCCGACCUUUCCUUGUAUUGCUCGUCGUUUUCAUAAUUAUUUUUUCUUGUCGCC